GCCCGCCCGCGUCAGCUGACCUGGCUUCCGCGGGCCCUGCGCCCUCGCGCUCCCGGGCCCCGGCCGCCCCCACGCCCCACGCCGCGCCCGCCGGCCCGGCCCUCCCUCCCCAGCUGGCCCGGCCGCCGCGGCCUCUUCCGCCCGGCGCCCGCGCAUUCCUGCCAUUCCCCCGAGUCGGCCCGCGGGCUACGGCCGCCUGCGGAGCGCAGGAACCUUCACCUCCCGAGGACAGGCGCCUUCCCCUCGGGACCCGGCUCCCCUGCUGCCUGCGCCGCUCUGUCCCCCUGCCGCUGCCCAAGCCUCCAGCAGGGGCCACCGAGGGCUCCAGGAGCACCCCAGGCCCGUUCUUCUGGCCCACAGCGCCCCUCCUGUGACCCUCAGCGACCCUCCUGUCCUGCCCUCCGGCGGCGCGGCUGUCUGGAGACUCUGCACCGUCGCGGCCUCGCAGCCUCGCAGCCCCGCGCCGGGUGGGGAGGGGAGGGUGGCGUUCCUGAGUCCGCGGAGGAAAGGGUCGCAGCUGCAGUCGCGCCAGCCCUCGGGCCUACAUCCGCUCCGCCGCGACGCGGCUCACAAACUAGGGAGGGGAGAAGGGAAGAAAGACCCGAUUCGGGAACACGGCUUUGUCCCUGGAACUGUACCUCAUGUCCCCUCACUUAAUCCUCCCAAGACCUGUGGGGCGUGUCGUCAUUUUAGGGCUGGAGAUGAGGAAACCGAGGCUCGGAGAGAUGAAGCGUUGUACGGCCACCGAGCGGCUGCUUUGCAACGAAGCCAAAGCCAACGUUUUGUUCUUAGCGGCGGUCGUUUGAGCCACGCCUCACCGCAACGAGUCUGCCAUCAGCCAAGAGAUGGAGUGAAGGUACCUGAGCGCAGGAACCAUGGUCUUCAUUGCUGCCUCAGCAUUAGCGGAAGUGCCACGGGCCGGCUCCCAGGGGGCCAGAGUUUCCCAGGAACACCAUUGAGUACCACUGAACUAGAGUCUGCAAGUUAAAGGACAGCCCGCUGCCAGCCACUACUACUGUGACUAGCAUUCUGGAAACAGCACAGGCAGUACUGAUUUCUUGGACCUUGAGGACACUAGUGGCAACUUGAGGAUAAGCCUUGUCUACCCUGUGCUCCCCUCCAUCCUACCUGCCUCCUCUUCAGGCUACUCCAUAGCCCCCAGGAUAUUUUUUUCUCCUACGCAGUGAAGCGAAAUCUCAGCUUUUACAGGAGCGUCCACCUCUUGGACUGCCCCUUGAGGGCCUGAAAGCACAGAGCUCUGCAGGGAAGCUCUGUGGGGCAGGAGGGCACUGCCCGUGAGUGCCUGGAGCAGCCCAGGAUCCCAUUUACAGAGACUCCUUUGCAGCAACCGGGUUAGGUCAUGGGCUUUGCAAGAUUCCUGCUCCCCUUCCCAACCCUAGUGAAGGCAGUUCACAACAAGGAAUGUGGGUGAGCAUUAAAUUACGUAGAUCACCGUGAAAGCCAGAGAAAAAGAGGGACAGAGGAAGGGUGCGGCAUUAAAGAUCCAAUGCUACCAACCCCACCCUGCCCCACUAUCCCUUGGGACGGAGCCCUGUUUGAAUCAUAACACUGGGCGGUCACAUUUCUAGGAAACUGCAGCUGAAGAGGAAAGGUCCUGGUUGUGUGAGUGAGGCUGUGUACAGAUUAGGACUGAAAAUGUGUAUCCGGGCAGACAAUUGGUCUCUGGACUCCACACCCGAGGCACAAGACAAGCACACAAAACAAAAUGACCAAAGCCUGACCCCUCAAACCUGAGGGUAAACAAACCUGCUUCCCUGGACAAGGGUUGUGGAAACAGGGAGUUCACCUCUGGAGAGGCGCAGGGGUUUUCCAUUCUCCUGGCGUGGAGCCUGGUCAACUUCUAGCUCAGAGACUCGCUGUUCCAGGAUACUGGGAGCUCUUUCACAGAAGCUUGGAGGUGAUGCUGCAGACUUUGGGCUGGCACUCUCUCCCACCUGACUUCCACAUUGCCCCCUGCCCUCCCUACCCCUGUUCCCAAGGCCCUCAAACUGUUCAGGGGUGCCAGGCCCCUCUGUUCCUUCUCUUCCACCCCUGCAGAAGGCAUAUUCCCCCAUCCCUCAGGUGUCUGUGCCCAGGUGCCCCGUGGGAAAGCCCACUCUUGCCUUCAGUAGCUCUCUUCCCUCUCCUGAGACGCAAGGCUGGGUGACAGGAGACAGACAUUCAUCUUCACCCGAGCCCUUCAUUAUGCUUAAUCUUUCUAGUGGGGGUGGGCCUGUCAAACACGUCUCUUUCCUAGGUUGGAGUAAUCCCAAAGCACCUCUCAUCAUAGUGGCUGUAAAUCCCACAAGUAUGUGGCAUGCACAUAGUAGCACUGACAGUGUGGUGGUGCCCUGCACUGACAGUGUGGUGGUGCCCCACACUGAAACAAGAAGUUUGGACUUGAGAGGCUUAGAACCUUUGUCUUCUUAGAAAGUGACUGGCAGCUCCUCCUCCCUGGCACCUGCUCCAACCUGGGCCCCUUGAUCUGCUGACAUCUCUGCGUGACUCUGGGUGCGUUGCUUACUCCAGGUCUAGUGCAGGUGCUACAGGACUACCUGGGAGAAAGGAGCCAGUCUUGAAGUCUCCAUUUCUCCCAUACAUCAGUCACUUAACGGAUUUAAGUAAGACCUUAGUAUGCAUCGGGAUCACCAGGGGACUUGUGAAAAUACAGAUUGCAGAAACCCUCAUCUCCAGGGUUUCUGAUUUGGUGGGUCUAAGGAUUUGCAUUUCUAACAAGUGAUGGGGUGCUGCUGUUCCAGGGACCACAUUUGAAAACCACUGAGUUCGAGUAUAGCAAAAAGAAAACCUAGGUUUCAGUCCUGCCCUGCCGCUUCCAGGCUCUGUGGUCUUGUCUUUGACCUUCCUGAGCUUCACUUCUGCAUCCAUUAAUGGUGUAGUAAUGACCACUGGGUAGUUGGGAGGAUUCAUUUGCAUCAUGUGUUUGAAAGACCCUUUCACGGUGCAUGGCAAAUUGGAUACAUCAAUUAGUCAACAAAUACAUUUUUUUUUGGAUGGAAUUUCACUCUUGUCACCCAGGCUGGAGUGCAAUGGUGUGAUCCUCGGCUCACUGCAACCUCCGCCUCCUGAGUUCAAGCGAUUCUCCAGCCUCAGCCUCCCAAGUAGCUGGGACUAUAUGCACCCGCCACCACACCUGGCUAAUUUUUGUUUGUAUUUUUAGUAGAGACAGGGUUUCACCAUGUUGGCCAAGCUGGUCACAAACUCCUGACCUCAGAUGAUCCGCCUGCCUUGGCCUCCCAAAGUGUGGGGAUUACAGGCGUGAGCCACUGCGCCCGGCCUAACAAACACAUAUUUAUUGAGUAGUCUGUCUGUUGUUCAUUAGAUACCCAAUGCCAUGAAGAUUCUAAGGCCCAGUUAAACAUCACACGUCUCUGGACCUUGAUUUUUUCCUCUUUAAAACAAGGGCUAGACCCGUUCAUCGGGGAUGAACUGACCGAAUGAAUGGUCGUGUUCAUGAGUGUUCUUUGCUCUGCAGAGGCACCUGGGCUCUCAGAUAGAGGUCCAGGAAAGGCCUGGACAAGGAAUAAAACAUUUGGCUGUCACCUGCAAAUCUAAGCACCCCAUACUCCCAUCAGAGUUGGACUUCUGCACAGGACCUGGAAGGCCUAUUAGUCUAAUAAACCAAAUUUGGCCUUCAGGGUCCAUCAUGAUCUGAUUCCAACCUACCAUUACAAUCCUAUUUCUCACUUUUCUCUUCCUUUCACCUUAGAGUCUAAACAAAUCUAUCUACUCAUCCUUCCCCAGAUAUGCCCUGUGUUUUCCUGCCUCCAGCUUUUUGUUCACACUGUUUUCGGCACUAGAAUACUCUUGCACUAGUCAAAGUCCUAUUCAUCCUUUGCAGCUCAUUCAAUGACUAUAUUUUCAAAGAAGUCAUCCACCUAUCUAUCUAUCUAUCUGUCUAUCUAUCUAUCUAUCUAUCUAUCUAUCUAUCUAUCUCAAGUGAUUUUAUCUUUUUCUUUUUUUUUUUUCGAGACGGAGUCUCUGUCGCCCAGGCUGGACUGCAGUGGCGCGAUCUCGGCUCACUGCAACCUCCGCCUCCCGGGUUCAAGUGAUUCUCCUGCCUCAGCCUCCAGAGUAGCUGGGAUUACAGGCAUGCGCCACCACACUCGGCUAAUUUUUGUAUUUUUAGUAGAGACGGGGUUUUGCCAUGUUGGCCAGACUGGUCUCAAACUCCUGACCUCAGGUGAUCCGCCCACCUUGGCCUCCCAAAGUGUUGGGAUUACAGAUAUGAGCCACCGCGCCCAGCUGGGAUGUCACAUUUCUAGUCUUGGAGCAUAUUCAGAUACAAAAAAUAAGAGUUGUCCUAUGUAAAACUAUUAAAAAGUGGAACAGCCACUUAAAAGGAGAUGCCUACUUAUACAUAAUAGUCAUGUAUAAACUGUUUAUUUUUUAUGGUAAUCAGAAACAGUGAAUAUGUGUGUGUGUAUAUGUGUAUAUAUAUAUAUAUAUAUAUA
This 4472-nucleotide long non-coding RNA is filed under the name Homo sapiens (human). Its description in RNAcentral is "non-protein coding lnc-B4GALNT3-2:13". Lineage: Eukaryota; Metazoa; Chordata; Mammalia; Primates; Hominidae. The record is from RNAcentral.